UUGUAGAUUACAAAAGAGAAAAAUCAAUCGAACUGCAAGUGUGUACAAUCAACUCAAAUUGCUCAAAGAAGAACAACAAUCGCGCUACGAUUCAUUCAUUGAAACGGGUCUUAGACAGCAUUCGUUAGAAGCGAAUAUCGGCGUACAAACUGCUAAGAUGACAAGACCUUUCCAGUACCUAACGUUUAGAAGAAAAAAAUGUUUAAACUCUGAAGACUGGGUUUAAAAAUAAAAAUACAAUGUCGACAAUCAUUAUUCUACGAUUUAUUUAACUAAUAAAUAUUUACAUUUCUU
Molecule: long non-coding RNA, 294 nt
Organism: Pieris napi
Lineage: Eukaryota; Metazoa; Arthropoda; Insecta; Lepidoptera; Pieridae
Exons: 2
Source: RefSeq, a predicted model, not a curated record